RNAcentral lists this long non-coding RNA (427 nucleotides) under Linum usitatissimum (flax). RNAcentral's name for it is "long non-coding RNA (LUSI_LNC001601)". The record is from RNAcentral. Lineage: Eukaryota; Viridiplantae; Streptophyta; Magnoliopsida; Malpighiales; Linaceae.
UACAGCCUAUAGAAUUGCAAACGUCAUAGCUAAGAGCAGAGGAGGAAUCUAAAUAACCACUGGCAAGGAACACCUCAAGAAGAUACUGGUGUGGAACUCAGAUAUUUAGAUCCCGUAAAAUGACAUGUCCAUCCCAAAUUACAAAUAAAAGACACUGGCUUAGCUGUAGCUCGCUAAACAGGAAAGUAAUAUGGUAGUAGAAAUUUUACUGCACUCUCUUAGAAUAAUUACUACAUCGCUACUGACAUUUGUGAUGGGACAAGGUAAAAAGAUAUUUAAAAAACUGGUGGAGAAAUAAAAGUACUGAGAAGAAAUUGACCUGAGAUAGGAAAGGUGCUAGGGAAAGGCAUAAACUAAAAACUUAGAUAGGUGCUUGAAAGUAAUUCAAAAUGUAGCAAAAUGCCACAAGAGAAUUAAUUAACUUACU